Molecule: ribosomal RNA, 494 nt
Filed under: uncultured bacterium
Lineage: Bacteria
Description: partial 16S ribosomal RNA
Rfam family: Bacterial small subunit ribosomal RNA
Source: RNAcentral
GACGAACGCUGGCGGCGUGCUUAACACAUGCAAGUCGAACGGUGAAGCGCCUUCCUUUUUGGUGGGUGUGGAUGAGUGGCGAACGGGUGAGUAACACGUGAGUAACCUGCCCCCUUCUUCUGGAUAACCGCAUGAAAGUGUGGCUAAUACGGGAUAUUCUGGGUCUGUCGCAUGAUGGGUCUGGGAAAGAUAUUGUUUCGGUGGGGGAUGGGCUCGCGGCCUAUCAGCUUGUUGGUGGGGUGAUGGCCUACCAAGGCGGUGACGGGUAGCCGGCCUGAGAGGGUGGACGGUCACACUGGGACUGAGACACGGCCCAGACUCCUACGGGAGGCAGCAGUGUGGAAUAUUGCACAAUGGGCGCAAGCCUGAUGCAGCGACGCCGCGUGAGGGAUGGAGGCCUUCGGGUUGUGAACCUCUUUCGCCAGUGAAGCAGGCCUGCCUCGUUUGUGGGUGGGUUGACGGUAGCUGGAUAAGAAGCGCCGGCUAACUACGUG